Ciona intestinalis (vase tunicate) is the source of this 898-nucleotide non-coding RNA. The record is from RefSeq and is a predicted model, not a curated record. Lineage: Eukaryota; Metazoa; Chordata; Ascidiacea; Phlebobranchia; Cionidae.
GUUGGUACUUACUAUACUCAGCACUGCAGAGUUGGAAUAUUCAACUGCGGAUUAUUGAAUGGCCAUUUUUGGUUGUGUUUAUAACAAUCAAAUUCAAGGAAAGUAUAGAAGUUAAAGAGAUGAUUUUCUAUGCAUAGCAACAAGGAAUCGAACAUGUGUUAGUUAUUUCUCAGACAAUAGUGUACUAUAGUAGUAUAAUACCAUAUCAUGUUUAUGUACCACAAUUCAUAGGCGUCCAUUUAGGGGUUCCGGAGUGCCAUGUCACCCCAGUUUUCAAAACAAUUGUGAGAUAAAGUGUUUUGGCCCAAGUUUUACAGAUCACCACAAAUUUUAACCUGCUGUUGAUUGUCUGGCCUAUAGAAACAAUCAUGCCCAAACCAUACUCGAAUCAUACUAUUCAAUGAAGUUUGUUUAUGUUUCAAGCUGUGAUCGUAAAUGCAUUUAAUCACUUCACACUAGAUUUUUAAAAUGUGAAUCUCAAUCCAAUCUUAAAUCACCUAAAUUUGUUGGGUAUUACUAUUCAAAAAACGGGUUGUACCUGUUAAUUUAUUCAAUACAUUGUUAUCAUACAAUAACAUGUUUUACUUUUUGUUAAACAAAAAUGAGUUUCAUAGUGAACUAUUUAAUGCAAAUUGUUUUUUACAUCUGUGAGUUAAACUAGGUCACCUGGUCAAACAUAAUGUGGCUUUGUGAUAUGCUAAUUUUUAUAAAUGUGGACGAGACAGAUAUAAUGCAUAGAAAAUAGAACUGUAUUUCACACAAUGCUUCUUCAUUUGUUUUAGUAUCCAAAAUGUGUGCAGUUAAGUAAUAAAUGUGCAAUAAGCUAAUAUACAUAAACAUUUUAUGUAUUCUUUGUCAAACUUUACUAUUCUUUGUCAAAUUAUAAUGUUGCAACCCC